Molecule: ribosomal RNA, 449 nt
Filed under: uncultured bacterium
Lineage: Bacteria
Description: partial 16S ribosomal RNA
Rfam family: Bacterial small subunit ribosomal RNA
Source: RNAcentral
UUUCCAGACUCCUACGGGAGGCAGCAGUGGGGAAUAUUGCACAAUGGGGGGAACCCUGAUGCAGCGACGCCGCGUGGGUGAAGGAGCACCUCGGUGCGUAAAGCCCUAUCGGCAGGGAAGAAACAGACGGUACCUGACUAAGAAGCCCCGGCUAACUACGUGCCAGCAGCCGCGGUAAUACGUAGGGGGCAAGCGUUAUCCGGAGUCACUGGGUGUAAAGGGAGCGUAGACGGCGACGCAAGUCUGGAGUGAAAGCCCGGGGCCCAACCCCGGGACUGCUCUGGAAACUGCGGCGCUGGAGUACGGGAGGGGCAGGCGGAAUUCCUGGUGUAGCGGUGAAAUGCGUAGAUAUUAGGAGGAACACCAGUGGCGAAGGCGGCCUGCUGGGCUUUAACUGACGCUGGGGCUCGAAAGCGUGGGGAGCAAGCAGGAUUAGAUACCCUAGUAUA